GUCCGAGUUGUAAUUUGCAGAGGAUGCUUUUGGCGCGGUGCCUUCCGAGUUCCCUGGAAUGGGACGCCUUAGAGGGUGAGAGCCCCGUACGGUUGGACACUAAGCCUCUGUAAAGCUCCUUCGACGAGUCGAGUAGUUUGGGAAUGCUGCUCUAAAUGGGAGGUAAAUUUCUUCUAAAGCUAAAUAUUGGCCAGAGACCGAUAGCGCACAAGUAGAGUGAUCGAAAGAUGAAAAGCACUUUGAAAAGAGGGUUAAAUAGCACGUGAAAUUGUUGAAAGGGAAGCGUUUGCGACCAGACCUUUUCCUGGCGGAUCAUCCGGUGUUCUCACCGGUGCACUUCGCCAGGUCGAGGCCAGCAUCGGUUUUCGUAGGGGGAUAAAAGCCUGAGGAACGUAGCUCCCUCGGGAGUGUUAUAGCCCCUCGCAUAAUACCUUUACGGGGACCGAGGACCGCGCCUUCGGGCAAGGAUGCUGGCAUAAUGGUUGUCAACGACCCGUCUUGAAACACGGACCAAGGAGUCGAACAUUUGUGCGAGUGUUUGGGUGUUAAACCCUCACGCGUAAUGAAAGUGAACGGAGGUGAGAGCCCCUUGCGGGGUGCAUCAUCGACCGAUCCUGAUGUCUUCGGAUGGAUUUGAGUAAGAGCAUAACUGUUCGGACCCGAAAGAUGGUGAACUAUGCGUGGAUAGGGUGAAGCCAGAGGAAACUCUGGUGGAGGCUCGCAGCGGUUCUGACGUGCAAAUCGAUCGUCAAAUCUGCGCAUGGGGGCGAAAGACUUAUCGAACCAUCUAGUAGCUGGUUACCGCCGAAGUUUCCCUCAGGAUAGCAGUGUUGUUCUUCAGUUUUAUGAGGUAAAGCGAAUGAUUAGGGACUCGGGGGCGCUUUUUAGCCUUCAUCCAUUCUCAAACUUUAAAUAUGUAAGAAGCCCUUGUUACUUAAUUGAACGUGGGCAUUCGAAUGUACCAACACUAGUGGGCCAUUUUUGGUAAGCAGAACUGGCGAUGCGGGAUGAACCGAACGCGGGGUUAAGGUGCCGGAGUGGACGCUCAUCAGACACCACAAAAGGUGUUAGCACAUUUAGACAAUAGGACGGUGGCCAUGGAAGUCGGAAUCCGCUAAGGACUGUGUAACAACUCACCUAUCGAAUGUGCUAGCCCUGAAAAUGGAUGGCGCUCAAGCGUCCCACCUAUACCUCGCCCUCAGGGUAGGACCGAUGCCCUGAGGAGUAGGCGGCCGUGGGGGUCAGUGACGAA
This 1252-nucleotide ribosomal RNA is filed under the name Ustulina deusta. Its description in RNAcentral is "eukaryotic LSU rRNA". It matches the Rfam family "Eukaryotic large subunit ribosomal RNA", at positions 136 to 1407 of the family's 3401-position model. Lineage: Eukaryota; Fungi; Ascomycota; Sordariomycetes; Xylariales; Xylariaceae. The record is from RNAcentral.